UAAUACGGGGGGGGCAAGCGUUGUUCGGAAUUACUGGGCGUAAAGGGCUCGUAGGUGGCCAACUAAGUCAGACGUGAAAUCCCCAGGCUUAACCUGGGAACUGCGUCUGAUACUGGAUGGCUUGAAUUCGGGAGAGGGAUGCAGAAUUCCAGGUGUAGCGGUGAAAUGCGUAGAUAUCUGGAGGAACACCGGUGGCGAAGGCGGCAUCCUGGACCGAAACUGACGCUGAGGCGCGAAAGCCAGGGGAGCAAACGG
RNAcentral lists this ribosomal RNA (255 nucleotides) under uncultured prokaryote. RNAcentral's name for it is "partial 16S ribosomal RNA". It matches the Rfam family "Bacterial small subunit ribosomal RNA", at positions 521 to 775 of the family's 1533-position model. The record is from RNAcentral.